AGAGUUUGAUCAUGGCUCAGAGCGAACGCUGGCGGCAGGCCUAACACAUGCAAGUCGAACGGAUCCUUCGGGAUUAGUGGCGGACGGGUGAGUAACACGUGGGAACGUGCCUUUUGGUUCGGAACAACUCAGGGAAACCUGAGCUAAUACCGGAUGUGCCCUUCGGGGGAAAGAUUUAUCGCCAUUAGAGCGGCCCGCGUCUGAUUAGCUAGUUGGUGGGGUAAAGGCCCACCAAGGCGACGAUCAGUAGCUGGUCUGAGAGGAUGAUCAGCCACACUGGGACUGAGACACGGCCCAGACUCCUACGGGAGGCAGCAGUGGGGAAUCUUGCGCAAUGGGCGAAAGCCUGACGCAGCCAUGCCGCGUGAAUGAUGAAGGUCUUAGGAUUGUAAAAUUCUUUCACCGGGGACGAUAAUGACGGUACCCGGAGAAGAAGCCCCGGCUAACUUCGUGCCAGCAGCCGCGGUAAUACGAAGGGGGCUAGCGUUGCUCGGAAUUACUGGGCGUAAAGGGAGCGUAGGCGGAUAGUUAAGUCAGAGGUGAAAGCCCAGGGCUCAACCUUGGAAUUGCCUUUGAUACUGGCUAUCUUGAGUAUGGGAGAGGUGUGUGGAACUCCGAGUGUAGAGGUGAAAUUCGUAGAUAUUCGGAAGAACACCAGUGGCGAAGGCGACACACUGGCCCAUUACUGACGCUGAGGCUCGAAAGCGUGGGGAGCAAACAGGAUUAGAUACCCUGGUAGUCC
This 742-nucleotide ribosomal RNA is filed under the name uncultured bacterium. RNAcentral's name for it is "bacterial SSU rRNA". It matches the Rfam family "Bacterial small subunit ribosomal RNA", at positions 8 to 796 of the family's 1533-position model. The record is from RNAcentral.